GAGGAGGUGGUGGUGGGAGAAUAAAACGCGUUUGACCGUGGAAAGCGCCGUCGGUCUCUCCUCUCGUCCACUUCAGCCCAACCCCCCUGUCUUCCCCCUCCGUAACUCCAGGGGGCAGAAGCAAAGCAAAAUCCCAUCCCAUAUCUUCUUCUGAAGCAGAGAAGAGGAAGGCAGGAGAAGAAAAAAGAAGAAGAAGGAGAUAAUCCAUUCCGGUUUUCAAUACAUUCUCCUCUUCCUUUCCAGCAAAUAUUUUAGCAUCAUCGUCUCUAGCAUAUCAUCGAACAUCUUGGUGUGGUUUGAUUGUAUGCCGCAUAGAUGAAUGAAUUUGAUGAUAUGGAUCGAAUUUUUUGAUAGUUGAGGUGGAGAGGACGAGGAGGAGGAGGAGGAGGAGGGGGAGGAGUUGGAAAGAUGAUGGGGGAUGGGGUGAAGCAGAUCCUGACGAAGCCGAUUCAGCUGGCGGACCAGGUGACGAAGUGGGCCGACGAGACGCACUUGUUCAAGCAGGAGUGCAUGGAGGUCAAGGCCAAGACGGAGCGGCUCGCGGCGCUCCUCCGGCAGGCCGCCCGCGCCGAGCUGUACGAGCGGCCCGCCCGUCGCAUCAUGGACGACACCGAGCAAGUCCUCGAGAAGGCGCUGUCGCUCGUGUCCAAGUGCCGGGCGCGCGGGUUGAUGAAGCGGGUGUUUACGAUUAUCCCGCCUGGGGCCUUCCGCAAGAUGUGCAUCCAGCUCGACAACUCCGUCGGCGACGUCUCCUGGCUCAUCCGCGUCUCCACGGCCGCGGCCGACGACGACUUCGGCCACCUCGGCCUCCCCCCCAUCGCCCAGAACGAGCCCAUCCUCUUCCUCAUCUGGGACCAGAUCGCCACCAUGAUCACCGGCUCCCUCGACGCCCGCGCCGACGCCGCCGCCUCCCUCGUCUCCCUCGCCCGCGACAACGACCGCUACGGCAAGCUCAUCAUCGAAGAAGACGGCGUGGGGCCUUUGCUCCGUCUGGUUAAGGAGGGCCGGGUGGAGGCCCAGGAGAACGCCGCGCUCGCCAUCGGCCUGCUCGCCCGCGACCCGGAGAGCGUCGAGCAGAUGGUGCUCGCCGGCGUCUGCUCGGUCUUCGCCAAGGUCCUCAAGGAAGGAGCCAUGAAAGUCCAGGCGAUGGUGGCGUGGGCCGUGGCGGAGCUCGCCGCCAACCACCCGAAGUGCCAGGACGUCUUCGCCCAGCACAAUGUCAUCCGCCUCCUCGUGAGCCACCUCGCCUUCGAGACCGUCCAGGAGCACUCCAAGUACGCCAUCCCCUCCAAGGGCAUGUCCAUCCACUCCGUCGUCAUGGCCAACCACGCAGCAGUGGAUCAUAACUCCAUGCCGGUAGAUGGCCCGGAGCAGAGCCAGAUGCAGCACCCCUGCGGGAACCAGAGCCAGAACAGCAAGAACCAGAUGCACAAGGUGAUACAGUCCACCAUGGCCACCAACUCGAGCAAGACCCAGUCCAACGCCACCGGGACGGCCGGGGGCCCGAAGCACCAGCAGAACGCCUCGCUGAACGGCACCAGCAUCAAGGGGAGGGAGUUCGAGGACCCGGCCACCAAGGCCUACAUGAAGGCAAUGGCAGCCAAGGCCCUGUGGCACCUCGCCAAGGGCAAUUCGGCUAUUUGCAAGAGUAUCACCGAGUCCAAGGCUCUCCUCUGCUUCGCCGUGCUUUUAGAGAAGGGCGCUGAUGAGGUCCGCUACAAUUCAGCCAUGGCUCUGAUGGAAAUCUGCAGGGUUGCCGAGCAGGAUCCCGACCUCAGGAGGUCUGCAUUCAAGCCCACCUCUCCGGCAGCUCGGGCUGUCGUCGACCAGCUCUUGAGAAUUGUCGAGAAGGCCGAGUAUGAUGACCUCCUCGUGCCGUGUAUCGUGGCGUUGGGCUGCUUGUCGAGGACGUUCCGGGCGACGGAGACCCGGAUCAUAGGGCCAUUGGUGCGGUUGCUCGAUGAGAGGGAAGGGAUGGACGUGAAAGAGGCGACGGUGGCCCUGACUAAAUUUGCAUGCACUGAGAAUUACCUCCAUGUCGAUCACUCGAAGGCCAUCAUCGAUGCUGGCGGCGCGAAGCACCUUGUCCAGCUCGUCUACUUUGGCGAGCAGGCUCAGAUUCCAGCAUUAAUCCUGCUGUGCUACAUUGCCACUCAUGUGCCCGAUAGCGAGGCGUUGGCCCAAGCCGAGGUCCUUACUGUGCUCGAGUGGUCAUACAAACAGGCAUACAUGGUGCAGGACCGGACGGUGGAGAAUUUGUUGCAUGAGGCCAAGACUAGGUUGGAGCUUUACCAGUCCAGAAGUUCCAGAGGUUACCAUUGAUUCAUUGCAGGACACUUCCAUUGGGGAAGAAGGGAAACGAAGAGGUAAGACCCAGUUCUGCUUUCCAAUCUAGAGGAUCCAGGACUGUAUACAAGUUCAAAUUAUUAAGUUUACUGAAGAUUGAUCCCUGAAUCUUAUAUGAUCAUCUUAGUGGUUGUUUGUUUUGGUUUGGUGUGGUUAUGCUUGGGGUUUUGGUAGGAGGAUGCUGCUGAUGCUUGUUUCUUUCUCAGGAGUGUUUUGUAGGCUGGAAAGAUUGAAAUUUCAAUUGUUUUUUCAUGGUGAAGAUAUAUAUAUAGAGUGUUGGUCAGUUCAGUUCAUUCUUCUGGUAUAGGGGGCAUUUUGCAGCUUGCACAUGAGAACCACAUGAUGAUAAAGGUAAGCAGCAUGCAAAUGGUUGUUGAAAUUUGCAGUGUUUUGGGGAUUAAAAUACUCCUCAAGGAAACCUUUUAAAUGGAUAUUGGACAGAGGAAGCUAAAGAGAGGUGUGCUACAGAAUGUUAAUUAAAGGUCGACAACAAUAGGAACAUUAUACAAUGUUGUGCUUAAUACUCAAUUGCUUAUAAUAAUUCCCGAGUUAGCUUUAGGUGGUCACUGGAUCAGCAGAUAAAACCGUUCCACUUCCAUGUAUCUGUUGCCCCUCCCUCUUGUUUCAGAAUUUUUUUCAGAAGUGAGUGUGAAGCAUUUCUCAGUA
Non-coding RNA from Phoenix dactylifera (date palm), 3012 nucleotides. The record is from RefSeq and is a predicted model, not a curated record. NCBI's taxonomy places the organism in Eukaryota, Viridiplantae, Streptophyta, Magnoliopsida, Arecales, Arecaceae.